UCCAGGAGCUCAAAGGAUGAUGUCAGCUCUCCCUUGCACUUGCUCAUAAAUGAAUAAAUCCUUCUCUCUUCUAUUUAUGUGUAUUUUGGCUCCUGUGCCACAGCAUAGCGUCAUAGUUUUGGGGUCUCACAGGCUGGUUUCAAAUCCUGGCUCCACUGCCUAACUUGCUGGUGACUUAAAACAAGCUGCUUAACUUCUCAGCGCCCCUGUUUCCUCAUCUGUAAAAUGGAUAUGAUAAUAGUGUCUGCCUCAUAGGUUCUCGUGAGGAGUAAAUGAGAUCAUCCACACAGUGUGCCUGGAAUAGCAUCCCGUGCAACGCCAGCUCCAGACAGGCCAGCUGUCCUUGCCUCUGUCCCUGCUGCAUUUGAGCUCCAGAGUUCCUCAUCCUGGCCCUUCAACAAGGAGAAAAAGAGGCCGUACCACAAGGCGACUACCCUGCUCCAGUCUCUUCUGUUUUCACCCAGCUUUGGCCUCUGCCUGAGCAGGAUCUGUGUGUGUCACUAGACACCCCAUCUUUCUAACCUUGGCGGGACUGUAGACUGACUGCCGGGAGAGCUGCUUGUCCUCAGGUGGGUUGUUUCAUCUGAAUGCCUCUGAUGCAUCCUCUCCAGGCAAAAACAAGCCCCACCAAGAAGCAGGGAAAGAUGAUGAUAAAUGUUACUUGAGCAUUAGCAGAGCGGUAGACCAAGAAGAGGUUGCUGUAUGCCAACCUCAAGGAGAGACCAGGAGGAAAUAUGGUUGAGCUGCUGCACGAUGGAUUAAGGAAGGCUUGAGAAAGGUACCAGGCCAGCUAAGAAGAAGAGUUCAGGGUAUAGUUUUACUUUCCGAGGAAACACUCUGGACAUUUGCCUUUCUUUCGGAUGAAGGAGGAACAUUUCUGCCCAAGACAAGGAUGGGGUUCAAUACCUUUCGCUUUGCAACUUUCUGAGACGCGCAGGAUAACAAGGAGGUGGGGAAGGAGGGUCUCAGCUUCAGGUUCCAGUAUCCUCCGACCACCUUGACCUUGUGACAGCCCAACAAGCAGGGUGGUGGACAAACGCGGGGGGGGUCUUCUCAACUCCUCCCAAGCGCUGGUGUAAGGCUGGUGUUGGGGGACGUGAUGGGCUGAAGAGUGUCUCUCCAAUAUUCAUGACCACUCGGAAACCUCAGACUGUGACUUUACUUGGGAAUAAGGUCUUGGCAGGUGUAAGUAGGUAAGGACCUCAAGAUGAAGUCAUCCAGGAUGCAGGGCGGGCCCUACAUCCCAAAGACAGGCACCCCUGUAAGAUGAGGAGAAGACAUACAAAGAACAGCAUGUGAGGACGGAGGCAGAGACCGGAGUGAUGGAUCGACAAGCCAAGGAGUGUGAGAGAAUGCCUGCCCCACCAGACACUGGGAAAGAGACAUGGGACAGAUGUUCCCCCAGAGCCUCCGGAAGCAACCGACUUUGUUGACACCUUGAUUUCUGGUCUUUGUCCUCCAGAGCUGUGACAGAAUAAAUUUCUGUUGUUUUAAAUUCCAUGUGGGAAAAAACUGUUUUAUCAGCCCCAGAAGACGAAUACAAGGGCAGGUUCCAGAGGCCCCCAGGUGCCCCGAAGUGCCCUGGAGCAGCACCGGGUUGAAUGGCCCCAACGUCAGUGUCUGCAGCAUCUCUUAGUAGAGAGUCUUCAGAAGUUAGAGAUUCUAUGACAUAGGCCACCCCGUUCCUGCGCCCUCAUCCCCACCCCCGGAGCUUCCAAACCCCGCCCUGAACCGCUCCCUGCACCACUCACUGCGGGCUUCAGGCCAAGCCCAAGCAUUGCCCGCCUCCUCUCCGACCCCCACAUCUGCUCACAGCUUUCGGCCUCCCCCACACAGAUUCCUCAGAGACUCAGGAUCAGAGAUGAGGCCAGGCGGUGACCAGCCACCAAGGUCCCUUCACCUGCCGGACCUCCAGCAGCCGCUCUCACGCUCAGCGACGGCCGCCAGUCACGGCGGACUCUCUGGCCUGGAGGAAGCAGGGAACCCAGAGGCGCAGGGUUACGGGAGGUCAACACCAAGAUGCCAACGCUCAAAAUAGGGGCCUCAGAGAACCCUCAAAAGAAGGCACUCUUUUAUCUGUUGUCCCAGUUCCUCUGAUAAAGAUACCUGGAAAGUUUCUUGCCUUUAAAUGGGGCGUAUGUGCAAAUGUGAUGUUCGGGAGGAAUAUUCCAGAGUAGAUGAAGGGCCCAACGCGGAGGCCUCUCUAAUGGCAGCCCACACGAUUACACAUUCCACAGGGACAGGCCUGUCGCCUGAGCCAUUCCCCUUCCUCCCGACAACGCACGCCUUCCCGUUGGACGCUGCCCUCCUCAUAAGCGGCUCUUAGCCGCCUACUGAAGUCUCAAAAUGAUCACAGUCUCAAAGCUGCCAUGCCCUGCUCAGAGCGGUGGGGGGCUGGCAAGUCUCCAGAGGGCCUCCUGGGUGGGUUUCCAGCUCUGCGGCCCGCCUGGGAGCCAGAAGGAGGGAGCGGCCACUCUCUUCCCUUCUCCCGGGCCGCGCUGCGGUGGGGAGAUGGGGGCCUGGGCGGUGAGGCCUUGCUGCGGGGGAGGCAGCUGAGGGUAAAGGGGCCGCAGAUGAGGAUGAGGCAGAGGGGACAUGCCCCGGAAACUUUGGCUCCCUGGAGGCAGAAAGCCAAGCAAGUCUUGGCAACGCAUCCUGGGAGUCAUGAGCCUGAUGGGCACGGAGAGAGAAAGGCCAGACUCAGGAAGGGGUCACGGUCAUGGCAACCGCCUGUUUCACUGCCAGCCUUCUGCCUCAUCGUCCCUGCCCACCCCGCACAUGUUGGUCAGGCUGCCCCAACAUUUGGUUCAGGACUGUGGCCCCUAGAAGCGUGACUGU
This is a non-coding RNA of Vicugna pacos (alpaca), 2838 nucleotides long. NCBI's taxonomy places the organism in Eukaryota, Metazoa, Chordata, Mammalia, Artiodactyla, Camelidae. The record is from RefSeq and is a predicted model, not a curated record.